ACGGAGGGUGCAAGCGUUAUUCGGAUUUAUUGGGCGUAAAGGGCGUGUAGGUGGUCUGAUAAGUCAGGUGUGAAAGCCCCUGGCUCAACCAGGGAAGUGCAUUUGAAACUAUCAGACUUGAGUACGGGAGGGGGAAGUGGAAUUCCUGGUGUAGAGGUGAAAUUCGUAGAUAUCAGGAGGAAUACCGGUGGCGAAGGCGACUUCCUGGACCGAUACUGACACUGAGACGCGAAAGCGUGGGGAGCAAACAGGAUUAGAUACCCUGGUAGUCCACGCCGUAAACGAUGGGCACUAGGUGUAGCGGGUAUUGACCCCUGCUGUGCCGAAGCUAACGCAUUAAGUGCCCCGCCUGGGGAGUACGACCGCAAGGUUA
RNAcentral lists this ribosomal RNA (373 nucleotides) under uncultured bacterium. Its description in RNAcentral is "bacterial SSU rRNA". It matches the Rfam family "Bacterial small subunit ribosomal RNA", at positions 525 to 896 of the family's 1533-position model. The record is from RNAcentral.